RNAcentral lists this ribosomal RNA (1599 nucleotides) under endosymbiont of Sipalinus gigas. RNAcentral describes it as "Bacterial small subunit ribosomal RNA". It matches the Rfam family "Bacterial small subunit ribosomal RNA". Lineage: Bacteria; Pseudomonadati; Pseudomonadota; Gammaproteobacteria. The record is from Rfam by way of RNAcentral.
UUUAUUAAGAGUUUGAUCAUGGCUCAGAUUGAACGCUAGCGGCAAGCUUAACACAUGCAAGUCGAGCGGCUAACAUAAUAUAAUUGUAAUUUAUUAUUAUUAUAUUGAUGGCAAGCGGCGUACGGGUGAGUAAUAUCUGGGAAUCUGCCUUAUGAUGGGGGACAACUAUUGGAAACGAUAGCUAAUACCGCAUAAUAUCUUUAUAUCUUAAAAGAUUUUAGAUUAAAGUAGGGGAUCUUUUAAAAGACCUUAUGUCAUUAGAUGAGCCCAGACGAGAUUAGCUUGUAGGUGAGGUAAAAGCUACACCUAGGCAAUGAUCUCUAGCUGGUCUGAGAGGAUGGUCAGCCACAUUGGAACUGAGAUACGGUCCAAACUCCUAUGGGAGGCAGCAGUGGGGAAUAUUGCACAAUGGGGGAAACCCUGAUGCAGCUAUGUCGCGUGUGCGAUGAAGGUCUUUUGAUUGUAAAGCACUUUCAGCAUAGGAAGAAGUUAAUAUAACUAAUAAUUAUUAUUAAUUGACAUUACUUGCAGAAGAAGUACCGGCUAACUCCGUGCCAGCAGCCGCGGUAAUACGGAGGGUGCAAGCGUUAAUCGGAAUUAUUGGGCGUAAAGGGUGCGUAGGUGGUUUAUUAAGUCAAAUGUGAAAUUUUUAAGCUUAACUUAAAAACUGCAUUUGAAACUAAUAUACUAGAGUUUUAUAGAGGGGAGUAGAAUUUCAAGUGUAGCGGUGAAAUGCGUAGAUAUUUGAAAGAAUACCAGAGGCGAAGGCGACUCCCUGGGUAAUAACUGACACUGAGGCACGAAAGCUUGGGUAGCAAACAGGAUUAGAUACCCUGGUAGUCCAUGCUGUAAACGAUGUCAAUUUGAAGAAUGUAAAUAUUUUUUAAAUUUAUAUUUUUCGUAGCUAACGCGUUAAAUUGACCGCCUGGGAAGUACGACCGCAAGGUUAAAACUCAAAUGAAUUGACGGGGGCCCGCACAAGCGGUGGAGCAUGUGGUUUAAUUCGAUGCAACGCGAAAAACCUUACCUACUCUUGACAUUUAAAGUAAUAAAAUAGAGAUAUUUUAGUGCCUUGAAAAAGGAAUCUUUAAACAGGUGCUGCAUGGCUGUCGUCAGCUCGUGUUGUGAAAUGUUGGGUUAAGUCCUUUAACGAGCGCAACCCUUAUUCUUUGUUGCCAGCGUAAAGUCGGGAACUCAAAGAAAACUGCCAGUGAUUUAAAACUGGAGGAAGGUGAGGACGACGUCAAGUCAUCAUGGCCCUUAUGAGUAGGGCUACACACGUGCUACAAUGGUAUAUACAAAGAGAAGCAACUUCGCGAGAACAAGCAAAUCUCAAAAAGUAUAUCAUAGUCCGGAUUGGAGUCUGCAACUCGACUCUAUGAAGUAGGAAUCGCUAGUAAUCGUAGAUCAGCAUGCUACGGUGAAUAUGUUCUCGGGCCUUGUACACACCGCCCGUCACACCAUGGAAGUGAAUUGCAAAAGAAGCGAGAAAACUUAAUCAAGUAAAAUUGAAAAGAUCUUUCCACUUUGUGUUUCAUGACUGGGGUGAAGUCGUAACAAGGUAACCGUAGGGGAACCUGUGGUUGGAUCACCUCCUUG